GAUCAUGGCUCAGGAUGAACGCUGGCGGCGUGCCUAACACAUGCAAGUCGAACGAAGCGAUUUAACGGAAAUUUUCGGAUGGAAGUUGAAUUGACUGAGUGGCGGACGGGUGAGUAACGCGUGGGUAACCUGCCUUGUACUGGGGGACAACAGUUAGAAAUGACUGCUAAUACCGCAUAAGCGCACAGUAUCGCAUGAUACCGUGUGAAAAACUCCGGUGGUACAAGAUGGACCCGCGU
This 239-nucleotide ribosomal RNA is filed under the name uncultured bacterium. Its description in RNAcentral is "partial 16S ribosomal RNA". It matches the Rfam family "Bacterial small subunit ribosomal RNA", at positions 15 to 236 of the family's 1533-position model. The record is from RNAcentral.